AUAACCCUGCCAGGAAGCAGGAUGGAUUCUUUGCCAAGCACAGGAAAGUGGAGGAAGUCCCUGAGGAGCAAUCCCAGGCCAUCACCAUUGGUAUCCAGGAGGGCUGGUGGGAGUAUUCCUGCAACCCAGGCGUGCUGUGUGAUGCACUGCAGAAACAUCCUCUCAGAUAAGUGACCAUUUCUGACUGUAGGCGACUGCAACUAAAAGGAGUGUGUGUAUAAAAAGGAGUGUGUUUGUAAAAGGAAAUGGACUGCAAUCUGGGCCUUAGGUUGUAUAUCAUUCGGAGAAAAUUGCUGCAUUUAUGGGUUAAAAAAUUAGAAUUUACUUGCUUUUUAUAAAAAAUUUGGCAGUUUAAUGAUGGCUCGGGGUAUGGGGUCUAUGAUAGUUGGGGGUGAGGGAUCAUGUGUCAGUGUUCUGUCUUAGGCCAGGUUGUGCACAGUGCAUUAGCUGCCUUCUAACUGCUUGCUUUUUCCUGAUAAUUUUCCUGCUUCCAGCCCUCACUGCACUCCCAGCUAUUGAGCAAGGAAAUCUGCUGAUGAAUUUCUCUGUGCUUGGGAGAAGUUGAAUGGUGCAAAGCAUUGUGAGCUGCCAGGGAUCUGCAGGGCAUGAGAAGAAUCCUUUUCCAGUGCCUUCUGUGCCACAUGAAGCCAAGACAAGAACACCUGAAGUUAGGACAAGUUUGCUGCUGAACAAAGCCCAGUGAGGGGACCAAGAGCCGGCCUGACCUCACAUAGAGAAUGAUUCAGAACUUUCAGUGACCAAGUGCCCUAACUGGGUCUCCAGGAUGUAAAUAGUUCCAAGUUCUCUAGUCUAUCGAAACCUUACAAACACUUUUGUUUUAUUUACUGUUCAAUGCAAAGCACCUGCUUUUUUUUU
Passer domesticus (house sparrow) is the source of this 876-nucleotide long non-coding RNA. RefSeq lists it as uncharacterized. The transcript is spliced from 3 exons. NCBI's taxonomy places the organism in Eukaryota, Metazoa, Chordata, Aves, Passeriformes, Passeridae. The record is from RefSeq and is a predicted model, not a curated record.